This 253-nucleotide ribosomal RNA is filed under the name uncultured bacterium. RNAcentral's name for it is "partial 16S ribosomal RNA". It matches the Rfam family "Bacterial small subunit ribosomal RNA", at positions 524 to 776 of the family's 1533-position model. The record is from RNAcentral.
UACGUAGGGUGCGAGCGUUGUCCGGAAUUAUUGGGCGUAAAGAGCUCGUAGGUGGCCUGUCGCGUCGGCUGUGAAAACUCGGGGCUCAACUCCGAGCUUGCAGUCGAUACGGGCAGGCUAGAGUUCGGCAGGGGAGACUGGAAUUCCUGGUGUAGCGGUGAAAUGCGCAGAUAUCAGGAGGAACACCGGUGGCGAAGGCGGGUCUCUGGGCCGUUACUGACGCUGAGGAGCGAAAGCGUGGGGAGCGAACAGG